AUGAAGGCUGGGUGCUAUAUGC
This 22-nucleotide non-coding RNA is filed under the name Rattus norvegicus (Norway rat). Lineage: Eukaryota; Metazoa; Chordata; Mammalia; Rodentia; Muridae. The record is from RNAcentral.